UACGUAGGCAGCGAGCGUUGUUCGGAGUUACUGGGCGUAAAGGGUGUGUAGGCGGUUCUUUAAGUUUGGUGUGAAAUCUCCCGGCUCAACCGGGAGGGUGCGCCGAAUACUGAGGGACUAGAGUACGGGAGAGGAAAGUGGAAUUCCUGGUGUAGCGGUGAAAUGCGUAGAUAUCAGGAGGAACACCGGUGGUGUAGACGGCUUUCUGGACCGUAACUGACGCUGAGACACGAAAGCGUGGGGAGCAAACAGG
Molecule: ribosomal RNA, 253 nt
Filed under: uncultured bacterium
Lineage: Bacteria
Description: partial 16S ribosomal RNA
Rfam family: Bacterial small subunit ribosomal RNA
Source: RNAcentral